Helianthus annuus (common sunflower) is the source of this 2161-nucleotide long non-coding RNA. RefSeq lists it as uncharacterized. The transcript has 8 exons. NCBI's taxonomy places the organism in Eukaryota, Viridiplantae, Streptophyta, Magnoliopsida, Asterales, Asteraceae. The record is from RefSeq and is a predicted model, not a curated record.
UUAAAUAAAUGAACCUAAUAUUAGAUGAAAGAAAAUAAAAGCUUUUAAAGAAAUAAAGUUCUUAAGAGGCCCGAGUUAACGAGACUUAAAAUGAAACGGGUUAUGACUUCCCCGAACCCACUAAGUAACUAGGAAUAUUAACCUAGUUAGUUAUGUGUUGUUAGAAUAAUAAAGGAAACUUGAAAUAGUUAAACCUUUUAUAAAUCCUUGAAACUAUAGGGACUAAAAGGGGCCAAGAGUGAAACAUGAUUAAAAUUAAAAGAAAUGAAACACCAAAACACACACUUAUGUGUGUGUUUGGUCGUGAUUUACAGGAGCCAAGAAAAGGGCUCUUACAAAGCCCUAAAACUCACAAGAAAUCCAACAAAAAUCGAAGAUAGAACAAGCUAAAAAUUGGGGCUUUAAAUAAAUUUGUGAUCACCCAAGCUAGAAGAUUGCAAGUUUGACUCUGACAAGCUAGGUAGGAGCUUGGAAAUGAACGGGUCAAAUGGAUACAAGUUCAAGUAUGAAGCUCGCAAGGAUGCAAGGUAAAUGAUAUCGGCUAUCCAGAUGAAGAUCAAGCGCCUAACAAGAACCGAACACACGAUAAAUGAAGCUUCCGCAUUUGAGUUUAAACCUUGUUAUCAAAAAGUGAACUAUGUAAACACUGAUAACAUGGUUUUUGGAACGUUUUAAACAUGUCUGAAUAUUUUGAUGUAAAAGUUUUCGUUGAGUCGCAUUUUUGUUAUAAAAUGCGUACUUUAAUGAUAUAAAAUAACGUUAAAUUAGAAUGGGUCUUACAAGUUGGUAAUCAGAGCUCACGGUUAAAGAGUAAAGUGUGUUCGGUUCGAGGCUUGAUCGCAAAUCCGUUGAAGGACACUCGCAUCUGAAGAUGGUUAGAGUUUAACAAAUUUCGAAUAUGACAGAGGAACAGUCCGAAGUAUGACAAGUAGAGCAUGCUCACCAAGGACCCAAAUCGCGUAACGAUAGCAAGUAAGGAUAAUUGGCAAGGAAAGCCCGUUAGGGCAAGCAUUACCAGGAGCCAAGAAAAGGGCUCUUACAAAGCCCUAAAACUCACAAGAAAUCCAACAAAAAUCGAAGAUAGAACAAGCUAAAAAUUGGGGCUUUAAAUAAAUUUGUGAUCACCCAAGCUAGAAGAUUGCAAGUUUGACUCUGACAAGCUAGGUAGGAGCUUGGAAAUGAACGGGUCAAAUGGAUACAAGUUCAAGUAUGAAGCUCGCAAGGAUGCAAGGAUAAAACGGCUUAUGGAAUUUGCGUUGCUAUGAAUCAGCAAAUUAUUAAGACAAUGUAUUAGAACGGGUCAAUACUUUGACCCGAGCCAGGUACGUGUAAAUUGGCGGAGUACAAGUAGACAUUUUAAUGUGGAAAUGUGAUGUGUGAAAAAAAAAGAAGAGCGAGAUUUGAAAUUAAAUGUUUAAAUUUCCUAAACGGGUCAAAAUGAAUUAUGCGCAUAGCUUGGGUAUUAGUCGCAUAAUUCAUAAAAGUUAUGUUCACGAGUUAAAGACUUUUGAGUUAACAAGUAGUCCAAGGUUUUAAGAUGAUUUAAAAUGAUUUAGAAACAAGUCGUUUAAUAGAUUAUGAAACGGGUCGAAUAAUUGUAUAAGAGAUUUAUAAGCCGUUAGCUUAUAAAUCAGCAUCGUUACAAACCUUAGUGUUGAUUAUAUAGGAGACUACAUUACGGUCAAUACGAAACAAGAAUCGCGUAAAACUGAUGUGUAGUUUGAAAGUUAUGCAUGUUUAUGUUAAACAUAGGAAAAACACAUAGCUGGGCAAAAAAAAAAAUGCAGGUUGCAGAGACAAACCUGUUGGAAAAUGGUGACCCUCACGCCACGCGAAGGACUAAGAUGGUUGAGGCGUGACACGCGACCACAGUCACGGCACGCGACAGAAUUAGGAAACCCUGUCGCGGCACGCGACAGGGGUAAAUGAUAUCGGCUAUCCAGAUGAAGAUCAAGCGCCUAACAAGAACCGAACACACGAUAAAUGAAGCUUCCGCAUUUGAGUUUAAACCUUGUUAUCAAAAAGUGAACUAUGUAAACACUGAUAACAUGGUUUUUGGAACGUUUUAAACAUGUCUGAAUAUUUUGAUGUAAAAGUUUUCGUUGAGUCGCAUUUUUGUUAUAAAAUGCGUACUUUAAUGAUAUAAAAUAACGUUAAAUUA